Molecule: unclassified non-coding RNA, 148 nt
Organism: Pongo abelii (Sumatran orangutan)
Lineage: Eukaryota; Metazoa; Chordata; Mammalia; Primates; Hominidae
Rfam family: Metazoan signal recognition particle RNA
About the family: The signal recognition particle (SRP) is a universally conserved ribonucleoprotein. It is involved in the co-translational targeting of proteins to membranes.
Source: Ensembl
GCCAGGUGUGGUGGUGUGUGCCUGUAGUCCCAGCUACUCAGGAGGCUGAGGUGGGAGGACUGCUUGAGCCCAGGACUUUGAGGCUGCAGUGAGCUGUGACUGCACCAUUGCACUUUAGCCUGGGCAACAGAGCAAGACCCUAUCUCUU